RNAcentral lists this long non-coding RNA (2311 nucleotides) under Setaria italica (foxtail millet). RNAcentral describes it as "long non-coding RNA (SITA_LNC002959)". Lineage: Eukaryota; Viridiplantae; Streptophyta; Magnoliopsida; Poales; Poaceae. The record is from RNAcentral.
GAUCCAAUUAUCAGUCCUAGGAGGCUGAUAACACAUUUAUUCAAUAGAUAGUUCAGAAACCGUACAGCUCCCGAAGGAGCGGGCGGGCAAGCCACACUCAAAGUAAAACUAAAGCGAUAACAAUACAAAUCCAAGUUGCAGUCCAGUCGGACUCCAGGCUGCAAUCAGAACUAUGCGUCAGCGGAAGCAUCCUGCAAAGGGCCAACAUCGCAGGCAGCGUUGGGUGUAGACGCAACCUCCUACUCAAGAUCCUCGGCGACGUAGUCCGGAUCCUCCUCUGAAGCAACAAAACAGGGGUGAGUACAGAAGUACUCAACAAGUCCAACUCCAUCCACGGAGGGGGAUACAACAAGAAUAUGCAUAGGAUAUAACAAUGAUAAGGUUACAGUUCAUUUGCAAUAAAGCUAGAUUUUUUACACAUGCAGGGGUUUACUUUUAAAGAGUUUUCGCAAAGUAUUUUAUUCAGUAACCAAAAUAUUGAAUGGGGUUGAUCCUACACAAAGGAUCCAAGUUUUAUCGCUACCGGACUCCCCGUCCGCCGUAGCGCACGGCACAACUGCCGGACACUUCCAAAAUCCAUCCCACGCCAUAAAAACCAACCAUCUCCAAAUGCUAGUUAUGUGACCAAGUCAUAACUCGUCCAAUACCUUGGACACGGCUACCCGAAUAGGUUUUAACUCUGCAAAGGUUGUACACUUUUUCCACAAGUAGGGUACCGUAGCACGAUCACCUUAGUGCCGGUGCGGAUCCUAGCAAAGCCAUUAGCCACCUUAUCCAAAACUGACUAGUCAACACGGAAUCUCCUAAGGGGUUAACGACCUAUCCACGAGGCCGGAACUAGGACCUAAGUCACCAAGAGCUUACUCCUUUUCCAUGGGCUCCGUUGCUCACUAGCACACCUGAAGCCUAGCAGUUUAGCUAGUGGGGUUUAUGCUAAGCCGUUGCCCAUACAACGAUCGAGUGGUUGCACGAUGGUUGAAUUAGGCAAGAUGACACAUCAACUCGGUCCUUAACCGUGACAAGAUGGAUAGUCCCAACCUUGCUCAACCACUAAGGUACGAGCCCGACAUUCUGGCAUUUCACACAAGAAACACCCAUCCAUCUCAUCUAUGCACCACCUCUCUUUACACACGAAAAACCAUUUUCUCAGCUGAAAACACUCACACAUUUAUUUUCUGAAUAAACAAGUGUAGUCAUGAUUGAAUUUGAGUAACGAGUUCCUAAGUAUUCUAGCAGUAUUUAUUAUCUAAAUAGAGCAACUCAUAUUUAGAGAUAAAUAUAGGACAACAAGGAAUAAUCAUAACAAUCAAGGGGUGGCUAUCCAACCAUGUCUUGCAAUAAAACGAUAUGCAUUUUAUAAAACAGGCCAAUAGGUUGUGCUUGAAAAAAAUCUAGGAAUUGAAUAUGCAUCAAAGGGUGGGAUUGGACUUACCGUUCUCAAAGCCCUCUAGGAGCUCCUGCUCGCGGUACAGGUCCUCGAGCUCAGGCUCAUGGUCGAACUCCUCCUCGUGCUUCUCCUCGGGUACUCCACGAUCUACAACACACACAAACGAGCACACAAUAAAUAAAAAGGAAAUACGAUUUUACCCGUUGAGCUCCGAACGAAGAAUGUGAACAGAAAAUAGGUAGGAGGGGUAUUUUCAUGAAAUUUGGAUAUGCCUCGGCGGAAAUAUAUGAGAGGAGGCCGUGGUCAAAUUUGGGAUUAAUUGGAGGAAGUUUGGCGUAUGAAAUGACGAGUUAAAUGAGUGUUAGGGCUUAAAACAAGAUUUUAGGACUAAACUGCGAGAACCAUGGACCUAUUUGUAAUUAUUUCUAAAAAGUGGAAGGGUCAUCUGUGAGAAUUCUUUGAGAGAGGUGGAAGGGCCGGUUUGUAAAUAUGAGAAAGGAGAGGGGUAGAUCGAAGAUUGAAGGGGGCUUUUCUCCUUCUUCUUCCUGGGCCGGUACAGGGGAAUGGGAGAAGAGGGAACCGGUAGAGGGGCCGGUCCGGCCGGACCUCACCGGCGGCGGGCCGAGUGGGGGAGAGGUAGAGGGGAGCAAGGGGAACCCAUUUGAGGGGUCACCUCGGGCGAUUUGUUGCCGGAACAAGGGGGCCGGCGGUGGGUAAGGAGGCGGUGGGUGGAGCUCCUGGCGGCGGUGGCGGUUGGCAUAGGGAGGCAGGAGGUGGAGGGUCGGGUGAGGUCGUGGUGCGGGAGGAGGAGGCCGGCCUCAGGUGGCUUUUAUAGCCGGUGGGAGGGCAACGGCGCACGAGGCGGUCGGGCUGGCGACUUGAUGGCGGCUGAACUUUUCCGGCCAGUGGCGUGCCAGAGUGGAC